CCCCUAGACGUUCUGGGCUGCACGCGCGCUACAAUAAUACGCACAGCGAGUAUCACCGAGCUCGAAAGGGCAAGGUAAACAAUAGAAAAGGUACUGUAAUGGUUAUAGAUCCUUGUAAUUAUUGAUCUUCAACGAGGAAUUCCUAGUAAGUAUGUGUCAUCAUCACGCACUGAUUACGUCCCUGCCCUUUGUACACACCGCCCGUCGCUCCUACCGAUUGAGCGAUCCGGUGAAUGUUUUGGACUGGCGUCAGAAGCGGUUCGCUCCUGACACUACGAAAUUUUGUAAACCUUAUCGCUUAGAGGAAGGAAAAGUCGUAACA
This 322-nucleotide ribosomal RNA is filed under the name uncultured eukaryote. RNAcentral's name for it is "partial 18S ribosomal RNA". It matches the Rfam family "Eukaryotic small subunit ribosomal RNA", at positions 1470 to 1796 of the family's 1831-position model. The record is from RNAcentral.